Molecule: RNase P RNA, 312 nt
Filed under: Hyunsoonleella aquatilis
Lineage: Bacteria; Pseudomonadati; Bacteroidota; Flavobacteriia; Flavobacteriales; Flavobacteriaceae
Description: Bacterial RNase P class A
Rfam family: Bacterial RNase P class A
About the family: Ribonuclease P (RNase P) is a ubiquitous endoribonuclease, found in archaea, bacteria and eukarya as well as chloroplasts and mitochondria. Its best characterised activity is the generation of mature 5'-ends of tRNAs by cleaving the 5'-leader elements of precursor-tRNAs.
Source: Rfam by way of RNAcentral
UGAGCAGAUUACCUUAUCGCGGUGACGAUUAAUGUCACCGAGGAAAGUCCGAACACCGCAGUGCAGCAUAGUGGUUAACAGCCACCGGCCGUGAGGUCAGGAAAAGUGCAACAGAAAGUAUGUACGGGUAAGGCCGUAGUGAAAUCAGGUAAACUCUAUGUGGUGCAAUGCCAUGUAUACCAGCGUUUAGGGUGGCACGCCCGAUGCUGGAGGGUAGGUAGCUAGAGCGUACUGGCAACAGUGCGCCAAGAUAAAUGAUGGGGGUCACGCUUUGUCGUGAUACAGAAUUCGGCUUAUAGAUUUGCUCGGGCA